RNAcentral lists this non-coding RNA (24 nucleotides) under Arabidopsis thaliana (thale cress). The record is from RNAcentral. Lineage: Eukaryota; Viridiplantae; Streptophyta; Magnoliopsida; Brassicales; Brassicaceae.
UCUUGGGAUGAUAACGUAUGUCAU